This 292-nucleotide ribosomal RNA is filed under the name uncultured bacterium. Its description in RNAcentral is "partial 16S ribosomal RNA". It matches the Rfam family "Bacterial small subunit ribosomal RNA", at positions 505 to 796 of the family's 1533-position model. The record is from RNAcentral.
GUGUCAGCAGCCGCGGUAAUACGUAGGGUGCGAGCGUUGUCCGGAAUUAUUGGGCGUAAAGAGCUCGUAGGCUGCCUGUUUCGUCCGCUGUGAAAUCCCGGGGCUUAACCCCGGGCCUGCAGUGGAUACGGGCUGGCUGGAGGCAGGCAGGGGAGAACGGAAUUCCUGGUGUAGCGGUGAAAUGCGCAGAUAUCAGGAGGAACACCGGUGGCGAAGGCGGAUCUCUGGGCCAUUACUGACGCUGAGGAGCGAAAGCGUGGUGAGCGAACAGGAUUAGAUACCCUAGUAGUCC